AUUGAACGCUGGCGGCACGCCUAACACAUGCAAGUCGAGCGGUAGCAUGAGUAGUAGCAAUACUACUUGAUGACGAGCGGCGGACGGGUGAGGAACACGUAGGAACUUGCCUUUUAGAGGGGGAUAACUAAGGGAAACUUUAGCUAAUACCGCGUAAUCUCGAGAGAGUAAAGCUGCCCGCAAGGGUGGCGCUAAAAGAGAGGCCUGCGUCCGAUUAGCUAGUUGGUGGGGUAAUGGCUCACCAAGGCGAUGAUCGGUAACUGGUCUGAGAGGACGACCAGUCACACUGGGACGUAGAGACGGCCCAGACUCCUACGGGAGGGAGCAUGGGGGAAUAGUGGACAAUGGGGGCAACCCUGAUCCAGCGAUGCCGCGUGAGUGAAGAAGGCCCUCGGGUCGUAAAGCUCUUUAGGUUGGGAAGAAGGACGUUAGGUUAAUACCCUGAUGUUUUGACGGUACCGACAGAAUAAGCACCGGCAAACUCUGUGCCAGCCGCCGCAGUAA
RNAcentral lists this ribosomal RNA (504 nucleotides) under uncultured bacterium. RNAcentral's name for it is "partial 16S ribosomal RNA". It matches the Rfam family "Bacterial small subunit ribosomal RNA", at positions 30 to 523 of the family's 1533-position model. The record is from RNAcentral.